This is a long non-coding RNA of Gopherus agassizii (Agassiz's desert tortoise), 2045 nucleotides long. Lineage: Eukaryota; Metazoa; Chordata; Testudines; Testudinidae. The record is from Ensembl.
CAUCAUCCCCCAACUGGAUUGCAGCAGCUUUGGAGUGUGUCAGUCAGGUCAUUCCUCCUGGGGCUGAUGUCUGCGCCCUGUCUCCAGCCCCCCAACUCUUGAGUGUCAGACAUGUUUUGUCCCGCUCCGCCCGCCUGGCUCUGGCCAGCUGCUGGUGGCACCAACUCCAGGAGGGGGGCACCAUCUGCCACAAGUGCCGGGGCAGAGGAGGGGGUCUUUGCUUCCCAUGGCCUGGGCACCCCACAGCACCCCCAAACUGAGUCAAAGACCUUGCCGAAGCUCUCCACCUGCCAUGGAAGGCUUGGAUGGAGAGGGGAUGUGUGGAAGGUAACCGGUUCCCCCCCUCGCAGCCCAGGCAGGUACCCUUACCCCCAGGGGGUGGGGACAGGUGGGUGGGGGUCCUUCCAUCUCUAGGAGCCCCCAUCUCACUCGGGGGCUAGGGCAGGCUGUUGCCCAGCUUGUGCCACCACGGCGAGCCCCUCGCUGCCAGUCCUAACGUGCUGUGGAACCUGUGGGGGCAGAAGCCUCCUUGGGUAGCAUUACAAAGCCUGGGGGUCAGGAAGUGUCUCCAGGUGGAGAGAGCACCCCACCCCCAGCUCAUCUAAUCAUCUCUUGUGGCAGGGACUAGCACAGCACCCCCCGCCCCCACCACCGUUGGAGUACCUGAGGCCAGGAGCACACUCCAGACUAUUGGGGCGCGUGGAUGUAGAGCCACCCUGGCGUGGCCCCCAUCCUGUGCAUCUGCCCAGGGGUCCUGCACUGGGGUCCCAUGGGGCAGCCAGCUAGCACAUGGGAAGGACGGGGCGGAGCGGAGGGGUGACCCAGCUGCCGAUUUCUUUGCUGAGAAGCUUGGCCCUUUGCUUGUUCCCCAGCUCCCAGGCAGUCCCUAACGGACAGAUGGAAGCCAAGCCCCAUGUCUUCUCUGCCCUAGCACAGCCGGGGAGGGGGGGGAACUAGAUGCUCCCAUCUCCAUUCCCCACUUGUGGCCCCCAGUUGAGCAUUGCUGCCCUGAGGCCUGCGAUGUGGCUCGGCCCUGGCGAUUGCACCAGCAGGGGGCACGCCCCUCCCGCCCGUGUGCCCCUGGGGCCUUGCACCCUUUUGUAUGUGACUUUCCGCCAAGCUGUUCGUUUAUUUAUAAGACUUUAACAAAUCCCUUUGCCCUUCUCUCGGGGAGGAGCGGGUCCCAGUCCUCCCUGGGGCUCAGGGAGCCAGCUGGGAAAUGUGUGUGGGGGGAUAUUCUAUGUUUUUCCUCUCUUUCCCAGUUUGUAAUUCUUGCUUUUGUUUCUUUUUCUUAGCCAGAACCAAACUGUUAAAGCCAUAAACUGCUGCCCAGGGGAGGGGAGCAGGCAGUGCCAAAUGCUUCUUAAACUGGGGGGAACAACCCCAAGGCUGGGCUGGGGGGAUGCCUGAUGUAGCCUUGUGGGGGGCAGAUGUGUGUCCCCCCUAGGAAUCCCAGGCCCUGUUCCUACUGGAAGGCACUCGGGCAGGGAGGUCAUUUCCCCCUCGGCGAGCCCAGCCCCUGCAUCUCAUGCUAAGGGUGGAGUAAGGCUCCACUCUGGACCAGCCUCGGUGGAGGGGUCGGGGGACAGGAGCAGAAUGUGAAUGCGAUUGGUGUGGGGGAAAGUGCCACCCACUCGGCCUGAGUCUCAGAGAGGCCAAGCUCCCGCAGCUCCCCCAUUGAGCCAGGGCUGCAUCCAGGGUGUGGAGCCCCUCUGAGCCAGGCACCGUGGUACUGGAGCCCUCUUUGUUCCAGGGCAUAAUUUAUAACCGUUAACUUUAAUUCUCCUUUGACAACAUCCAGCAGAGGGGUCUGACCUUGCUCCUACAGCCAGCCGAGGGGGGCUUGCUCCCUGCCGCUGCGGGCUCUGGUCCUUGACUGGGAGAUGGACACAGGGCCACGGGCCAGCCUUUGGCCCGUCCGCCCAGCUACAGCACAGAGCGUUCGAGGCCGCGCCUGCCUGUGGGAGUUCUGCCGAGGCUCCCUGCCCAUGCUGCAAUGGUUUUUUUUAAAUUGAUCUGUAAAUAAAGAGAAAGAAACCUUUCUA